RNAcentral lists this long non-coding RNA (1214 nucleotides) under Anas platyrhynchos platyrhynchos (common mallard). RNAcentral describes it as "lncRNA (ENSAPLG00000029045.1)". Lineage: Eukaryota; Metazoa; Chordata; Aves; Anseriformes; Anatidae. The record is from RNAcentral.
AAUCAAAAUCAAAUGGUUUGGCAAAAAUGAUUUGGCUUUAUUAUUUUUUUUUUUUCAGAAGGAAAGCUUCAGUGCUGAGCUUUUCUAGGAGCCCACAUCCUAGCAGACAUCUGAACAGGUAUUGAAACCUCUAAUAAAUAGGUGCACAGUAAGGGCUUGAUGUCUAUUUUAACAAGUGAUGUGUCCAUCGCUUCUUGACACGAGGUCUCUUAAGCCUUCCAAAGACUACCCAUGACCAAAACUUUGCUCUCUGCUAUUUUCCAGAUCAAUCCAGAUUGGAGGAAUAAAUGGGGGCUUCUUGACUUCUGACUGACCUUUGGCUUGAACUAAGUGCUGCUUUCCUCUGCUGAAGAGCUGCAACCUGAGAACAUGCUUGAAAAAGCUCUUUUGAGUUUCAAAGUCUCCUUGUCUUGUCCAAGGGUGUCAGAAUCCUUGUUCCUGAAAGUUUGCUAUGGCCUGGAGGAAGAGGAUGUGAAUCUGUAGCUAUUGCAGCACCAGCAUAAGAAGUCUCUGCCUGCCAGGAAGAAGCCAACAUGCACCAUUGGGAGAGAGAGUCUGGACCCAGGAAAAAGAAAAAAAGUCUGCUGGUGUCUGUCUGCAGAUUGUCUCCCCGUCCUAUAUGGAUUCCAUUGGCAGAGCCCACUCAGCAUUUCCUGGAAUAAAUGCUCUUGUGAAGGAAAAGGGUUCGGCAUAAAGCAUGAAACAUUGGUGGAGAUGAGAUUUGUCCAGAGAUUUUUUAGAGGAAGAACGUCCUGACCUAAUGAAAUUAUGCAAAUAUGUUGGAGAGUAGUCUUCAUUUAUCUUGUGGCUCACCUAUUCUUUGGUGUCCUUCCAGGACAAAGCACUUGCCCUAUGUAUACCUUGAGUAUUAAUACAAGUGUUCUCCUCCCCUUGCUAAUGAGAUGCCAGACUGGAGGAGGAAGCUCUCUUGUGAUGUGGAAGGGUUACACCCCACCAUCACUGUCUGUGACAGCGAACUCUCUCCUGAUCUGCACACACCAUGCACGUCAGCCACGUUGCUCUGCACCAGCGACAGAGACAGCCCUCCUGUACAACUGAGACUGCUGUGAAAAGCGGGGAAAGUGAACACAUCUGCCACCCGCAUUUCCCCACAGUGACAUUUGAACUCGUUGGCCAGCUCCAACCACAUUUAACUGUGGUUGGUAAAUGUGGUCUGAAAGACAUGCUGAAAUAAAGCAAUCGGAUGUGCACCA